This 297-nucleotide ribosomal RNA is filed under the name Bacillus licheniformis. Its description in RNAcentral is "partial 16S ribosomal RNA". It matches the Rfam family "Bacterial small subunit ribosomal RNA", at positions 70 to 358 of the family's 1533-position model. Lineage: Bacteria; Bacillati; Bacillota; Bacilli; Caryophanales; Bacillaceae. The record is from RNAcentral.
AGAUGGGAGCUUGCUCCCUGAUGUUAGCGGCGGACGGGUGAGUAACACGUGGGUAACCUGCCUGUAAGACUGGGAUAACUCCGGGAAACCGGGGCUAAUACCGGAUGCUUGAUUGAACCGCAUGGUUCAAUUAUAAAAGGUGGCUUUUAGCUACCACUUACAGAUGGACCCGCGGCGCAUUAGCUAGUUGGUGAGGUAACGGCUCACCAAGGCAACGAUGCGUAGCCGACCUGAGAGGGUGAUCGGCCACACUGGGACUGAGACACGGCCCAGACUCCUACGGGAGGCAGCAGUGGG